AUGGCCGCUUUAUACCGGUGGCUGGCGUACGCUGGGCGCUGGGUACGCGCCGUGCUCGCCUCGCUGGCUUUGCGGCAUGCCGCAGCUGCCGCGUUUUAAUGGCCAGGAGACUAAAGAGCCUCUACUGACGCCCAUAUAAGCAAGCCACAAGCCUUUCCACCUAUGUGGAUAUCAACUUCAUACGCUUCAAACCAUGUAUGAUAGUCUCUGUUCACGCCAAAUCACGGCCAAAGAAGGCCACAAGCACACUUUACCCAUGGCUGCAGCAGGAAAGGACAAACAGGGAGCACCAAUAGCAGUACAUGGUCCCGUUGCAGUCAUUGACUUUGGGACCCUCGUCUGCAUAUUAUUUGUUGUUUACUUAUUGUUUUUGGAAUGACGAAUAAACUGAACUGAACUGAACAUGUAAA
Non-coding RNA from Dermacentor andersoni, 410 nucleotides. NCBI's taxonomy places the organism in Eukaryota, Metazoa, Arthropoda, Arachnida, Ixodida, Ixodidae. The record is from RefSeq and is a predicted model, not a curated record.